AUUCUUCAUGGAAACUCCCCCACCCUAUAAAAAUUAAAUAGAUGAUACCAAGUGAUGUAGGAAAUCUUAGAGAAAAAAACACCAGAUUCAACAACCCAAAAUCAAUCAACAAUCUCAGCAAAUUUGAAUUUCAAAAAAUUUAAAUUCCUAACAAUCAAAUUUUUGUUCAGUGGCAGAGCCAAUCAGUUGAUGAUGCUACUUGGAUUGGUGAGGCUGAUUUUAUAGGGCAAUUUCUUCACUUCAGCCUUGAGGGCUGGUUCUCAUGGGGGUGGCAAUGAUGGGCAACAGGUGGAUCCAAAUGGGCCAAGGCCUAAGGUACAUUCUAGAAGAGCUAAAAAGGGUAUGACAGUUGCCUCAUGAGCUGGUUGUUAUGUAAAAGGACCCAGCUUGGAAAGGAGCAAAAGAAAAGUAUAAAUGAAGGGUUGAAAAUGCAGAAGGCAUGCAUUUUGGGGGAAAUUAGUCUCUCUUGGAGAAAAGGGCAGAGUAUCUGCACAGGAAUAUUUUCCUGGGGCUUCGGCCAUCUUGUUUGGGUUGAUUGUUUCUUGUUUGGUUACUUUCCUUUCAUCUUUGAGCUGUGUAACUUGUAUUGCAAUUCCAGAAAACUCUCCUGGAAUAUUUUACCCGUUUUAAUACAAUUUCAUACUUCAUGCAUUUGAACUGUUUAUUUUUCAUCGUUGGUUGUUGAGAUUACAUUUCCUUUCUAUCACACCUGCAUUUUUUUCAACAUAUAAAACUGACAUACAGGUAAUGGAGCCCUUCAAAACCUGUAAAUAACAUCAGUUACAUUACAUAACGGCCAUUAUU
RNAcentral lists this unclassified non-coding RNA (804 nucleotides) under Hevea brasiliensis (rubber tree). Lineage: Eukaryota; Viridiplantae; Streptophyta; Magnoliopsida; Malpighiales; Euphorbiaceae. The record is from RNAcentral.